This 2437-nucleotide long non-coding RNA is filed under the name Lactuca sativa (garden lettuce). Its description in RNAcentral is "long non-coding RNA (LSAT_LNC008676)". Lineage: Eukaryota; Viridiplantae; Streptophyta; Magnoliopsida; Asterales; Asteraceae. The record is from RNAcentral.
UCCUUCGUGGUUGAUCUAAACGGUCCACAUACAUCGGUAUGUAUUAGGUCCAAUAGACCCUCGCCCCUUUCACAUGUACUCGUGAAGGGUGACUUAGUCAUCUUUCCAAGCAAACAAGACUCGCAUGUGUCAUCUUCCCUAAGGUCGAAUGACUCCAACACUCCAUCCUUUUGGAGUUGGGCUAUGCGUUUCUUGUUGACAUGUCCAAGACGACAAUGCCACAAGGAUGCUUUAUCCAUACUAGUGGAAGAAUCAAUAUUCAAAACAUCAUUUCCUAAGUUAUCAACAAUCAUAACGGUUUCAUAUAUUCCAUUACAUGGUAUAGCUUCAAAGUAAAAGACACCAUUUAGAUAAGCCAAAAUAGAACCAUUCUCAUUAUUAAAAGAAAAUCUAAAUCCUUGUCUAUAUAAACCAUGAAAUGAAAUGAUGUUUCUUGCCAUUUCUGGCGAAUAGCAACAAUUGUUCAAAUCUAAAACUAAACUAUUCCUAAGCACUAAGGAAUACACUCCAAUCUUGGUCACAGGCGACGAUCUUCUAUUCCCCAUGAUUAAAUUGAUUCUUCCUCGCUCCACAUCCCUACUUCUUCUUAGUCCUUGCACAUUAGAACAAUUGUGAUAACCACAACUGGUAUCAAGAACCCAAGAAAUAGCAUGAUUAGAAUCGUUAGAUUUAAUUGUAUAUAUACCUGCGAAAGAUGGCUUGAUCUUUCCUUCCUUGAUGGCUUGCAGGUACUCUGGGCAGCUUCUCUUCCAAUGUCCUAUCUUGUGGCAGUGGUGGCACUCUGCCUCCUUCGGGUUAGGGCAGGGCUUAGCGGGAUCAACUUUGGUCCCACUAGAAGAGGCACCAUCUCGGGCUUUAACCUUGCGAUAGUUCUUAGACGAAGCCUUCCUCUUCUUUCCCUUUCCUUGACCAAUAGCCAAGACAGGAGCAGCGGGUGGAUUGGGAGUUGGUGCAACAGACUUGUCUUUGAAGUUGCUCUCAGCGACCCUCAAGAGACCUUGGAGUUUGCUUAGGGUGACCUCCUCUUUGUUCAUGUGGUAGGUCAUCCUAAAUUGAUUGUACAUCGGAGGCAAAGAGUGAAGCACCAUGUCGAUCGCCAAGUCUUCCCCAAAGUCAACAUUUAACUUGCGAAGGCGGUCGACAUACCUUUGCAUCUUUUGCAGGUGCACGGUAAGAGAUUCUCCAUGACCCAUCUUAGCGGAAAUCAUGUUAGUGAAAAUCUCAUAACGCUAUUGUCUCGAGUUUUGGUGGUAUCUCUCCAUUAAGUCUUGAUGCAUCUUGUACGGGUACAUGUCCUCGUAGGACUUUUGGAAUUCGGAGUUCAUGGUGGCUAUCAUGAUGCAAUGUACCUUCGUUGCAUCUCGCUCAUGAGUUUCAAAAGCGGUAAUUUCAGCCGGAGUAGCGAUUUCAGGGUUGAUUUUCUCGAGCUUCUCAUCGAGGACAUACUCCUUAUCCUCAUAGCGAGCAAUGGUGCGAAUGUAUCUUAUCCAUUCGCUAAAGUUCGUUCCAUCGAAGGUGACCUUUUGGCAAAGGCUCAUCAACGUGAAGGAACUAGCACCAACGUUGUUUGCAUUUGACAUCUACAAAUAGAAAGGACAAAGAUAUAUUAGAAUAUGAAUCCCUAAUUAUCACCCAAUAAGAAAAAUUAGGGCUAGGAUCCAACAACAACAUUUACAUAUGAGAAAAGGGAUGCCGUAAUCUAACAUGCAAAUAAAUUGAAGGUAAGUGAAUGACGAUUCACUAAUUCUCCACCAUAAAACCUAACUAUUAGUCCUAAAUGUAUUGAGAAUUCCUAGGAUCGGAUGAGAUUCAUUGAAACUAUUCAAUGGCAUGUUUAAAUCUCGAUAUGCCCCUCUUGUUUGUGACUGGGAUACCGAGGAUCACAAAGCGGGUGUGAAUUACCAUGCAAAUUCACAUGGUGCCUUCAUUGUAACGAUCACCUAUUCGAUGUGCCGGUAAACCACACACGCUCCAUCGAACUAUGAUAAACAAUGAAUCACCCUUUGCCACCUUUGCUUAGAACCAAUUAGUGUGCCGGUAAACCACACACGCUCCACUAACUUCUUAGCAAGGGUGCAAAGUGUAAUUUCAUGGGAUUGCAUCAAUUCACUUUUCCUAAAGUAACUAAGAUUGGGAAAUUUUAAAAAAUGUGUAGUUACUUUGUAUUUCCUAUUAUACUUUUAAUGAGAGCAAGAUGUUGCCCUAUCCUACCCGUUCGGUUAACGACCCUCCACCGAUCAAGCAAGCGGUGGGUGUGAGUGUACACCCAUUAAGCGCCAUUUUAUAGGCCGCAACCUUAUACCCACCUUAUAGAUCGGCUUCGUGAAUGAGGCCUACUAACGGUAAGACUAGCAUUUAAUUAUACAUAUAUAUAUUAUUCUAGUAAUAUCAUAUUAGUAUAGGGUUGUAUUUUAAAACUUUUAAAAUCUAGGGUUUG